AAACUGAAACGGAAACUUAACAAUUCUGCUGGGUGGUUUACUGAAGCUAGCUCGUGUCCAUUAUAUGGAAUUUAACUUGACGUGAAACUGCGCAAACCUCUCGAAUUUUUGGAUGGAGUUGACCUGAACAACAGAUAAAGGAUGAUGUGAAAAUAAAUAUUGAGAAAGACACUCAAUAGAGACAGGCGUUGUUACAGGCGAAUGCGGAAGAGUGUGAUUCGACAGGUAGCCUACUUGUGUUGGACGCUCUCAAUUAAAGUAAGGUCGCUCACGGGAAACUACGUAGACCUUGACACUGUUAGAACGUUUUUGUAUCAAACAUUGUGGCUCCUGGGAACAUCAUAAGAUAUUUCUGAAGUUCAAGAAGAAACCUGCAACUGCGUGGCAGUGAUAUGGCAGCCAACAAUGCGUGUGGCCCAUAUAUUUAGAAUCUACACAUGAUAAAACAAUACAACUUAUUUCGCUGUGAUAAAAAAAAAAAAACUACUAGGUUGAACUGGACAACCAUGUUCUUCCGUUUGAUGUUGUUCUGUUCAGUUUAUAUUAAUUACGUUGGCCUUACCCUGCCUUACCCUGCUUACGCUGAGUGUGGGGAACAAAGUUACAUUGUAGGAGACCUUUGUUGCCCUAAAUGCCCUCCUGGUAAGAGUGAAAUAUACAAACCGUUAAAAUUGCCUACAAAUCUACACAUUUUACUGUCUAAUAAUCUACAACAGAUACCAUAUUUUAACUGUUCAAGAAUCUACAACAUAUUCAAAAUGUU
Molecule: long non-coding RNA, 763 nt
Organism: Gadus morhua (Atlantic cod)
Lineage: Eukaryota; Metazoa; Chordata; Actinopteri; Gadiformes; Gadidae
Exons: 4
Source: RefSeq, a predicted model, not a curated record